This is a long non-coding RNA of Monodelphis domestica (gray short-tailed opossum), 584 nucleotides long. RefSeq lists it as uncharacterized. The record is from RefSeq and is a predicted model, not a curated record. NCBI's taxonomy places the organism in Eukaryota, Metazoa, Chordata, Mammalia, Didelphimorphia, Didelphidae.
GCUGUGCUUUUCUCCUCCUCUCUUAUGUUUGCUUAGCAACCCUCCAGAACUCAAAUGCUCUGGGACUGGUUUGAGAAGACAGCUGAGACUAUUCACAGAUGAAGAAACUUGAAUGGGUCAAAUGUGUGUUCAGGUGUUACACCACAAGGAAGAUGGGAACAGAACUCCAAUGACUCCGAGACCCAAUCCUUCACUGGAAUGUCCUGACCCUUCAUGGAAGUGUCAAUGGCCCCUAUCCAGAGACUCCCGCCCCAGCUUCUGCUUAAUCUGCUUCUGGACUUUGUGCUCUGAUUGAAGACAGGACCUCAUCCCAUCUUUAACCCUGACAAUGCCCUGUAAUGGAAAGAGCCCCAGUCUUGGAGUUGGAAGAUCUAACUUUCUCUUCUCUCUGAAUCACUCCUUGAGCUGCUCAGAACUGCUGUGCUGGGCUCCAGAAAAUCCAUCCACCCUCAGGAGAAAACAGGUACUUUCCUGGUCUGCAGGAUUGUUUUGGAAUCCCUGCUCUGCUGUAUUUAUUCUUUGACUUCAGGUCCUUGAACAUCUCCAAGCUCUUCCACAAUGUUUUCUCUGAUUAAAAAUCUGUG